RNAcentral lists this ribosomal RNA (542 nucleotides) under Fusarium oxysporum f. sp. lycopersici. RNAcentral's name for it is "eukaryotic LSU rRNA". The stretch from base 175 to 328 matches the Rfam family "5.8S ribosomal RNA". The record is from RNAcentral. Lineage: Eukaryota; Fungi; Ascomycota; Sordariomycetes; Hypocreales; Nectriaceae.
ACUGUGCUGAUGCGGAGGGAUCAUUACCGAGUUUACAACUCCCAAACCCCUGUGAACAUACCACUUGUUGCCUCGGCGGAUCAGCCCGCUCCCGGUAAAACGGGACGGCCCGCCAGAGGACCCCUAAACUCUGUUUCUAUAUGUAACUUCUGAGUAAAACCAUAAAUAAAUCAAAACUUUCAACAACGGAUCUCUUGGUUCUGGCAUCGAUGAAGAACGCAGCAAAAUGCGAUAAGUAAUGUGAAUUGCAGAAUUCAGUGAAUCAUCGAAUCUUUGAACGCACAUUGCGCCUGCCAGUAUUCUGGCGGGCAUGCCUGUUCGAGCGUCAUUUCAACCCUCAAGCACAGCUUGGUGUUGGGACUCGCGUUAAUUCGCGUUCCCCAAAUUGAUUGGCGGUCACGUCGAGCUUCCAUAGCGUAGUAGUAAAACCCUCGUUACUGGUAAUCGUCGCGGCCACGCCGUUAAACCCCAACUUCUGAAUGUUGACCUCGGAUCAGGUAGGAAUACCCGCUGAACUUAUGCAUAUCAAUAGGCGGGAGGAA